CGGCAGGCUUAACACAUGCAAGUCGAGCGGUAGCACAGGGGAGCUUGCUCCCUGGGUGACGAGCGGCGGACGGGUGAGUAAUGUCUGGGAAACUGCCUGAUGGAGGGGGAUAACUACUGGAAACGGUAGCUAAUACCGCAUAACGUCGCAAGACCAAAGAGGGGGACCUUCGGGCCUCUUGCCAUCAGAUGUGCCCAGAUGGGAUUAGCUAGUAGGUGGGGUAAUGGCUCACCUAGGCGACGAUCCCUAGCUGGUCUGAGAGGAUGACCAGCCACACUGGAACUGAGACACGGUCCAGACUCCUACGGGAGGCAGCAGUGGGGAAUAUUGCACAAUGGGCGCAAGCCUGAUGCAGCCAUGCCGCGUGUGUGAAGAAGGCCUUCGGGUUGUAAAGCACUUUCAGCGAGGAGGAAGGUGGUGAACUUAAUACGUUCAUCAAUUGACGUUACUCGCAGAAGAAGCACCGGCUAACUC
This 474-nucleotide ribosomal RNA is filed under the name uncultured Enterobacterales bacterium. RNAcentral describes it as "bacterial SSU rRNA". It matches the Rfam family "Bacterial small subunit ribosomal RNA", at positions 40 to 503 of the family's 1533-position model. Lineage: Bacteria; Pseudomonadati; Pseudomonadota; Gammaproteobacteria; Enterobacterales. The record is from RNAcentral.